GACGAACGCUGGCGGCGUGCCUAAUACACGCCAGUUGAGCGCUGAAGGUUGGUACUUGUACCAACUGGAUGAGCAGCGAACGGGUGAGUAACGCGUGGGGAAUCUGCCUUUGAGCGGGGGACAACAUUUGGAAACGAAUGCUAAUACCGCAUAAAAACUUUAAACACAAGUUUUAAGUUUGAAAGAUGCAAUUGCAUCACUCAAAGAUGAUCCCGCGUUGUAUUAGCUAGUUGGUGAGGUAAAGGCUCACCAAGGCGAUGAUACAUAGCCGACCUGAGAGGGUGAUCGGCCACAUUGGGACUGAGACACGGCCCAAACUCCUACGGGAGGCAGCAGUAGGGAAUCUUCGGCAAUGGACGAAAGUCUGACCGAGCAACGCCGCAUGAGUGAAGAAGGUUUUCGGAUCGUAAAACUCUGUUGGUAGAGAAGAACGUUGGUGAGAGUGGAAAGCUCAUCAAGUGACGGUAACUACCCAGAAAGGGACGGCUAACUACGUG
This 497-nucleotide ribosomal RNA is filed under the name uncultured bacterium. Its description in RNAcentral is "partial 16S ribosomal RNA". It matches the Rfam family "Bacterial small subunit ribosomal RNA", at positions 28 to 507 of the family's 1533-position model. The record is from RNAcentral.